GGCCGGAUAGCUCAGUCGGUAGAGCAGAGGACUGAAAAUCCUUGUGUCCCCGGUUCAAAUCCGGGUCCGGCCA
This 73-nucleotide transfer RNA is filed under the name Simkaniaceae bacterium. RNAcentral's name for it is "tRNA-Phe". It matches the Rfam family "tRNA". From Rfam's summary of the family: Transfer RNA (tRNA) molecules are approximately 80 nucleotides in length. Their secondary structure includes four short double-helical elements and three loops (D, anti-codon, and T loops). The record is from RNAcentral. Lineage: Bacteria; Pseudomonadati; Chlamydiota; Chlamydiia; Parachlamydiales; Simkaniaceae.